GACGAACGCUGGCGGCGUGCUUAACACAUGCAAGUCGAACGGAAAGGCCCUGCUUUUGUGGGGUGCUCGAGUGGCGAACGGGUGAGUAACACGUGAGUAACCUGCCCUUGACUUUGGGAUAACUUCAGGAAACUGGGGUUAAUACCGGAUAGGAGCUCCUGCUGCAUGGUGGGGGGUGGAAAGUUUCGGCGGUUGGGGAUGGACUCGCGGCUUAUCAGCUUGUUGGUGGGGUAGUGGCUUACCAAGGCUUUGACGGGUAGCCGGCCUGAGAGGGUGACCGGGCACAUUGGGACUGAGAUACGGCCCAGACUGCUACGGGAGGCAGCAGUGGGGAGUAUUGCACAAUGGGCGGAAGCCUGAUGCAGCGACGCCGCGUGCGGGAUGACGGCCUUCGGGUUGUAAACCGCUUUCGCCUGUGACGAAGCGUGAGUGACGGUAAUGGGUAAAGAAGCACCGGCUAACUACGUG
RNAcentral lists this ribosomal RNA (468 nucleotides) under uncultured bacterium. RNAcentral's name for it is "partial 16S ribosomal RNA". It matches the Rfam family "Bacterial small subunit ribosomal RNA", at positions 28 to 507 of the family's 1533-position model. The record is from RNAcentral.